GAAGGUGGUCAGUCAUCACAUAAUCUCAAGAAGUUCAUUAGUUGGGCGAAUUAUUAAUUUUUUUUUAUAAAGUAUUUUUCAUUGUUUAGAAUAAGUGGUGUUCUUUGUUCCAAAUUUGUUUAGACCAUGCUAAAUUCAAAUUUGUUUAACAAUAUGAGGACUCAAUGAACGAUCUUAAGGACAUAAUGUGGCUUGUCAUAGUAUUCAAAUUUGUUUUGGUAUGUAUUAUGAUUUGUAGUAUGAUUAAUCAAUAAUCGCUCAUAAUAAAAUUGGGUAAUGAUAUUGUUACUUUCGGCCAAAAAAACUAUUCUAUUUAUCUCAUGGGUGGUUCAAU
Molecule: long non-coding RNA, 334 nt
Filed under: Trifolium pratense (red clover)
Lineage: Eukaryota; Viridiplantae; Streptophyta; Magnoliopsida; Fabales; Fabaceae
Description: long non-coding RNA (TPRA_LNC004725)
Source: RNAcentral